CGCGCUGGCGGCGUGCUUACACAUGCAGUCGAACGAUGAACCCCGCUUGCGGGGGGAUUAGUGGCGAACGGGUGAGUAACACGUGAGUAACCUGCCCUUAACUCUGGGAUAAGCCUUGGAAACGAGGUCUAAUACUGGAUAUUGACAUUUCACCGCAUGGUGGUUUGUUGAAAGAUUUAUUGGUUUUGGAUGGACUCGCGGCCUAUCAGCUUGUUGGUGAGGUAAUGGCUCACCAAGGCGACGACGGGUAGCCGGCCUGAGAGGGUGACCGGCCACACUGGGACUGAGACACGGCCCAGACUCCUACGGGAGGCAGCAGUGGGGAAUAUUGCACAAUGGGCGAAAGCCUGAUGCAGCGACGCCGCGUGAGGGAUGACGGCCUUCGGGUUGUAAACCUCUUUCAGUAGGGAACAACGCCAGCAUUUUUGGUGGUUGAGGGUACUUGCAGAAGACCCGCCGGAUAACUGCGCGCCAGCCCCCGCGAUACUACGUGGGGCGCAGGCUUUAUCAGGUAUUUUGCGGUGAAAAGAGCUAAUACGCGUUGUGUCGCCUCUGCGAAGACACCGCGGAACAUCACCCGCGGAUCUGGGGGUGGGGGGCGGAAAACAC
RNAcentral lists this ribosomal RNA (609 nucleotides) under Arthrobacter sp. A-16p. RNAcentral describes it as "bacterial SSU rRNA". It matches the Rfam family "Bacterial small subunit ribosomal RNA", at positions 32 to 646 of the family's 1533-position model. Lineage: Bacteria; Bacillati; Actinomycetota; Actinomycetes; Micrococcales; Micrococcaceae. The record is from RNAcentral.